ACUAAGCGUACACGGUGGAUGCCCUGGCAGUCAGAGGCGAUGAAGGACGUGCUAAUCUGCGAAAAGCGUCGGUAAGGUGAUAUGAACCGUUACAGCCGGCGAUGUCCGAAUGGGGAAACCCAGUGCAAUUCGUUGCACUAUCGUUAACUGAAUACAUAGGUUAACGAGGCGAACCGGGGGAACUGAAACAUCUAAGUACCCCGAGGAAAAGAAAUCAACCGAGAUUCCCCCAGUAGCGGCGAGCGAACGGGGAGGAGCCCAGAGCCUGAAUCAGUGUGUGUGUUAGUGGAAGCGUCUGGAAAGGCGUGCGAUACAGGGUGACAGCCCCGUACACAAAAAUGCACAUACUGUGAGCUCGAUGAGUAGGGCGGGACACGUGGUAUCCUGUCUGAAUAUGGGGGGACCAUCCUCCAAGGCUAAAUACUCCUGACUGACCGAUAGUGAACCAGUACCGUGAGGGAAAGGCGAAAAGAACCCCGGCGAGGGGAGUGAAAAAGAACCUGAAACCGUGUACGUACAAGCAGUGGGAGCCUCUUAAUGGGGUGACUGCGUACCUUUUGUAUAAUGGGUCAGCGACUUAUAUUCUGUAGCAAGGUUAACCGAAUAGGGGAGCCGAAGGGAAACCGAGUCUUAACUGGGCGUUAAGUUGCAGGGUAUAGACCCGAAACCCGGUGAUCUAGCCAUGGGCAGGUUGAAGGUUGGGUAACACUAACUGGAGGACCGAACCGACUAAUGUUGAAAAAUUAGCGGAUGACUUGUGGCUGGGGGUGAAAGGCCAAUCAAACCGGGAGAUAGCUGGUUCUCCCCGAAAGCUAUUUAGGUAGCGCCUCGUGAAUUCAUCUCCGGGGGUAGAGCACUGUUUCGGCAAGGGGGUCAUCCCGACUUACCAACCCGAUGCAAACUGCGAAUACCGGAGAAUGUUAUCACGGGAGACACACGGCGGGUGCUAACGUCCGUCGUGAAGAGGGAAACAACCCAGACCGCCAGCUAAGGUCCCAAAGUCAUGGUUAAGUGGGAAACGAUGUGGGAAGGCCCAGACAGCCAGGAUGUUGGCUUAGAAGCAGCCAUCAUUUAAAGAAAGCGUAAUAGCUCACUGGUCGAGUCGGCCUGCGCGGAAGAUGUAACGGGGCUAAACCAUGCACCGAAGCUGCGGCAGCGACACUAUGUGUUGUUGGGUAGGGGAGCGUUCUGUAAGCCUGUGAAGGUGUACUGUGAGGUAUGCUGGAGGUAUCAGAAGUGCGAAUGCUGACAUAAGUAACGAUAAAGCGGGUGAAAAGCCCGCUCGCCGGAAGACCAAGGGUUCCUGUCCAACGUUAAUCGGGGCAGGGUGAGUCGACCCCUAAGGCGAGGCCGAAAGGCGUAGUCGAUGGGAAACAGGUUAAUAUUCCUGUACUUGGUGUUACUGCGAAGGGGGGACGGAGAAGGCUAUGUUGGCCGGGCGACGGUUGUCCCGGUUUAAGCGUGUAGGCUGGUUUUCCAGGCAAAUCCGGAAAAUCAAGGCUGAGGCGUGAUGACGAGGCACUACGGUGCUGAAGCAACAAAUGCCCUGCUUCCAGGAAAAGCCUCUAAGCAUCAGGUAACAUCAAAUCGUACCCCAAACCGACACAGGUGGUCAGGUAGAGAAUACCAAGGCGCUUGAGAGAACUCGGGUGAAGGAACUAGGCAAAAUGGUGCCGUAACUUCGGGAGAAGGCACGCUGAUAUGUAGGUGAAGUCCCUCGCGGAUGGAGCUGAAAUCAGUCGAAGAUACCAGCUGGCUGCAACUGUUUAUUAAAAACACAGCACUGUGCAAACACGAAAGUGGACGUAUACGGUGUGACGCCUGCCCGGUGCCGGAAGGUUAAUUGAUGGGGUUAGCGGUAACGCGAAGCUCUUGAUCGAAGCCCCGGUAAACGGCGGCCGUAACUAUAACGGUCCUAAGGUAGCGAAAUUCCUUGUCGGGUAAGUUCCGACCCGCACGAAAGGUGUAACGACUUGCGCACUGUCUCAACGAGGGACCCGGUGAAAUUGAAGUACCUGUGAAGAUGCAGGUUACCCGCGACUGGACAGAAAGACCCCAUGGAGCUUUACUGCAACCUAAGAUUGAAUUUAGUUAUUGAAUGUACAGGAUAGGUGGGAGACGUAGAGACUAGGGCGCCAGUCUUAGUGGAGUCAUUGUUGGGAUACCACCCUUUCCAUAAUUGAAUUCUAACGGGGAGACUAACACCCUCCCGGACAGUCUUAGGCGGGCAGUUUGACUGGGGCGGUCGCCUCCGAAAAUGUAACGGAGGCGCCCAAAGGUUCCCUCAGAGCGGACGGAAAUCGCUCGAAGAGUGUAAAGGCAGAAGGGAGCUUGACUGCGAGACGGACAGGUCGAGCAGGGACGAAAGUCGGGCUUAGUGAUCCGGUGGUGCCGAGUGGAAGGGCCAUCGCUCAACGGAUAAAAGCUACCCUGGGGAUAACAGGCUAAUCUCUCCCAAGAGUCCAUAUCGACGGGGAGGUUUGGCACCUCGAUGUCGGCUCAUCACAUCCUGGGGCUGAAGUAGGUCCCAAGGGUAUGGCUGUUCGCCAUUUAAAGUGGUACGCGAGCUGGGUUUAGAACGUCGUGAGACAGUUCGGUCCCUAUCUGCCGUGGGCGCUGGAGAACUGAGGGGGGCUGCUCCUAGUACGAGAGGACCGGAGUGGACGCAUCACUGGUGUUCGGGUUGUCAUGCCAAUGGCACUGCCCGGUAGCUAAAUGCGGAAGAGAUAAGUGCUGAAAGCAUCUAAGCACGAAACUUGCCCCGAGAUGAGUUCUCCCUGACUCCUUGAGAGUCCUGAAGGAACGUUGAAGACGACGACGUUGAUAGGCCGGGUGUGUAAGCGCAGCGAUGCGUUGAGCUAACCGGUACUAAUGAACCGUGAGGCUUAACC
Molecule: ribosomal RNA, 2891 nt
Filed under: human gut metagenome
Description: bacterial LSU rRNA
Rfam family: Bacterial large subunit ribosomal RNA
Source: RNAcentral